RNAcentral lists this ribosomal RNA (468 nucleotides) under uncultured bacterium. RNAcentral's name for it is "partial 16S ribosomal RNA". It matches the Rfam family "Bacterial small subunit ribosomal RNA", at positions 28 to 507 of the family's 1533-position model. The record is from RNAcentral.
GACGAACGCUGGCGGCGUGCUUAACACAUGCGAGUCGAACGGAAAGGCCCUGCUUUUGUGGGGUGCUCGAGUGGCGAACGGGUGAGUAACACGUGAGUAACCUGCCCUUGACUUUGGGAUAACUUCAGGAAACUGGGGCUAAUACCGGAUAGGAGCUCCUGCUGCAUGGUGGGGGUUGGAAAGUUUCGGCGGUUGGGGAUGGACUCGCGGCUUAUCAGCUUGUUGGUGGGGUAGUGGCUUACCAAGGCUUUGACGGGUAGCCGGCCUGAGAGGGUGACCGGCCACAUUGGGACUGAGAUACGGCCCAGACUCCUACGGGGGGCAGCAGUGGGGAAUAUUGCACAAUGGGCGGAAGCCUGAUGCAGCAACGCCGCGGGCGGGAUGACGGCCUUCGGGUUGUAAACCGCUUUCGCCUGUGACGAAGCGGGAGUGACGGUAAUGGGUAAAGAAGCACCGGCUAACUACGUG